ACGUAUGGUGCAAGCGUUAUCCGAAUUUACUGGGUGUAAAGGGAGCGCAGGCGGUGCGGCAAGUCUGAUGUGAAAGCCCGGGGCUCAACCACGGUACUGCAUUGGAAACUGUCGUACUAGAGUGUCGGAGGGGUAAGUGGAAUUCCUAGUGUAGCGGUGAAAUGCGUAGAUAUUAGGAGGAACACCAGUGGCGAAGGCGGCUUACUGGACGAUAACUGACGCUGAGGCUCGAAAGCGUGGGGAGCAAACAG
RNAcentral lists this ribosomal RNA (251 nucleotides) under uncultured bacterium. RNAcentral's name for it is "partial 16S ribosomal RNA". It matches the Rfam family "Bacterial small subunit ribosomal RNA", at positions 525 to 775 of the family's 1533-position model. The record is from RNAcentral.